RNAcentral lists this ribosomal RNA (274 nucleotides) under uncultured bacterium. Its description in RNAcentral is "partial 16S ribosomal RNA". It matches the Rfam family "Bacterial small subunit ribosomal RNA", at positions 523 to 796 of the family's 1533-position model. The record is from RNAcentral.
CUACGGAGGGUGCAAGCGUUAAUCGGAAUUACUGGGCGUAAAGGGCGCGUAGGCGGUCUAUCAAGUCAGGUGUGAAAUCCCACGGCUCAACCGUGGAGGUGCAUCUGAAACUGAUAGACUUGAGUAUGGGAGAGGAAAGUGGAAUUCCCGGUGUAGAGGUGAAAUUCGUAGAUAUCGGGAGGAACACCAGUGGCGAAGGCGACUUUCUGGACCAAUACUGACGCUGAGGCGCGAAAGCGUGGGGAGCAAACAGGAUUAGAAACCCUAGUAGUCC